RNAcentral lists this ribosomal RNA (429 nucleotides) under Bacteroidota bacterium. RNAcentral describes it as "Bacteroidetes bacterium partial 16S ribosomal RNA". It matches the Rfam family "Bacterial small subunit ribosomal RNA", at positions 355 to 776 of the family's 1533-position model. Lineage: Bacteria; Pseudomonadati; Bacteroidota. The record is from RNAcentral.
UAGGGAAUCUUCCGCAAUGGACGCAAGUCUGACGGAGCAACGCCGCGUGAGUGAAGAAGGAUUUCGGUUCGUAAAACUCUGUUGUUAGAGAAGAACAGCGCAUAGAGUAACUGUUAUGCGUGUGACGGUAUCUAACCAGAAAGCCACGGCUAACUACGUGCCAGCAGCCGCGGUAAUACGUAGGUGGCAAGCGUUGUCCGGAUUUAUUGGGCGUAAAGCGAGCGCAGGCGGUCAAUUAAGUCUGAUGUGAAAGCCCCCGGCUCAACCGGGGAGGGUCAAUGGAAACUGGUUGAAUUGAGUGCAGAAGAGGAGAGUGGAAUUUCAUGUGUAGCGGUGAAAUGCGUAGAUAUAUGGAGGAACACCAGUGGCGAAGGCGACUCUCUGGUCUGUAACUGACGCUGAGGCUCGAAAGCGUGGGUAGCAAACAGG